Humulus lupulus (European hop) is the source of this 918-nucleotide long non-coding RNA. RefSeq lists it as uncharacterized. Lineage: Eukaryota; Viridiplantae; Streptophyta; Magnoliopsida; Rosales; Cannabaceae. The record is from RefSeq and is a predicted model, not a curated record. The transcript has 4 exons.
CAUUUCCAUAACACAUGAAUAUAAUACUGUUAUGCUAGAAUAUUAUAUUGUGCAUGAAAAAAGGGCGGUAAUAAACACCAUCCCGCCCCUUAGUCUUUUUUUUUUUUCAGUACUGAGAACUGAAAAUUUGUGAGACCCGAGAGACCCUUCGGCCAAAUCCUAAUUUCGUUUUGCUUCUCCCGGUCGUCGAGCCUGAUCGACUCGACUCUUUUCCCUGCCCCCCGGCCUCUCACUUCGUUUCGUUCUUCUUCUGUAUCGUCGCUUGAAUGAAGACACCCGAUCGGCCCGACUUUCCCAAAUGUCCACCACCGGCCCUUCUCCUUUCCGGGUCUGAAUUUUUCGUGGUCGACGGGGAAGAAAGAAAUGAAUGAAUGUUCUGAGACCCGAGACCUUCAAAGGCCAGGUUUUUCUUCUUUUCCUCUUCAUUUGUUUAUAAUGGUUUUCAUUUUAUUUUCUGUUCAGUUUCUGGGAUUUUAAAUCUUUUUCGUUUUGUUUUUGAAAUUGGUAAAUAGAGUUCUGGUAAAUCUUUGGUGUUGGAAAGCGUGGUGGGCAGAGAUUUCUUGCCUCGUGGAUCUGGUAUUGUUACGAGGAGGCCACUGGUGUUGCAACUUCAUAAGAUAGAAGAUGGUCAGACUGAGUAUGCGGAGUUUCUUCAUGCUCCUAGAAAGAAGUAUACUGAUUUUGCUGCUGUGCGUAAGGAGAUCCAAGAUGAGACAGAUCGUAUUACUGGGAAAUCUAAGCAAAUAUCUAACAUUCCAAUUCAUCUGAGCAUAUAUUCUCCAAAUGUUGUAAACUUGACAGUCAUAGAUCUUCCUGGGUUGACAAAGGUUGUUGUAGGUAAUAAUUUUCUCUAAUCUAUAUAAUGAAUAUAUAAUAUCAAGUAACAAAUUUUGGCUGUUGCAGAGGGACAACCGGAAG